Long non-coding RNA from Ornithorhynchus anatinus (platypus), 1132 nucleotides. RefSeq lists it as uncharacterized. Lineage: Eukaryota; Metazoa; Chordata; Mammalia; Monotremata; Ornithorhynchidae. The transcript is spliced from 3 exons. The record is from RefSeq and is a predicted model, not a curated record.
GAACCAAAUCUUUUCGAUUAGAUGACAACUUCAAUCAUGGACAGCCUGAGCAAUGAAAAGCGUAUAUGCUCCUUUGUGUUCCGACACAGCGCCACACACACGCUCUUGCCGCCCGUUUGCGUUUUGGACAGCUGGAAAGAGAUGGACGACUGAGCAGACUCUCCAGUAGCCUGGAAGCUGUUGCUGUGAUUCCCAACCUUGCCCCUAGCUCACAUGUGCCCCGGGCUACCUGAAUUAGCAGCGUCCCACGGCCCAGGGAAUAACCGUCGGGAGGUCGGGCGGUGCUUUCCGUUCAGAGAUUCUUCCGUUCGCCCUGCUUGUGGAGUCUCCACUCAAAUUCUCUAUGCAGAAGGUCCCCGGACAUUCUAAGGCCGUUAAUCCUCAGCCAGCAUGCCCAAGUGAAGCAGCUGGUAUCGUUUUGACACAGGUGGCCGAGCUUGGCACUCAUUUUUUUGGAGGGGGGGGAAGCAUAACUCGGCAUUUAAUCGGUGACCCUGAAAGUGUGUGGUGAGGUUGGCUGUGGCACCUGCGGCAGAUCCAAGUCCAGCAGCCACGUAGGUCGACACUCUGAACCGUCUCUCUGCCCGUUAGUCCCUUGAAAGACACGGUGUCUAAGAAAUAGAAUUCAGCAGGGACUUUCGGCUUGGGGCCUCAAGCCAGGGAACCACAUCUGUGGCUUUCUCAGGGUCAGCGCUGUUUCUGCCAUCUGGUGGAGGAUCCUGGCGAUCUUUUCAUGAUGUGUUUGAACGGUACCAUAGAAAGCGCCCUUGGAUUUCGUGCCAUCUGCCUCAUCUCCGUGCCGACGGGGCGGCCGAGCCGUCGGCUCGUCUUCGCUUGCCGUGCAGCUCGCGCACGUAAAAUGCGGAUGUAUUCUGUCAUCGUGGCGACGGCAGGCUUCAGCCCUUCUCCUGCUCCAGCCCUUUUGGCAGUAGGCCACCCAGGCCUGCUGUCUUAUUUACUGUUGCCUCCCAACCUUUGGGAAUACCUAUUCCCUGAGCCUUUUCCCCUCCUCUUUCCCACCCCUUGGAAUCAUGACCCACAGCUGUGUCAUGUUUUUGUCUUGUGGUUCAGAGGCCUGGGUCUCCUGUGAUGUUGCUUCUGUCUUAGAAAAUAAAGUGAUACGUUAUCAGUC